AGACGGAGGGUGCAAGCGUUACUCGGAAUUACUGGGCGUAAAGCGUACGUAGGCGGCUUGUCAAGUUGGAUGUGAAAUCCCACAGCUUAACUGUGGAACUGCGUCCAAAACUGGCAGGCUCGAGAACAGUAGGGGACAGUGGAACUCCAGGUGGAGCGGUGAAAUGCGUAGAGAUCUGGAGGAACACCGGUGGCGAAAGCGACUGUCUGGGCUGUUUCUGACGCUGAGGUACGAAAGCUAGGGGAGCGAACGGGAUUAGAUACCCUAGUAGUCC
This 274-nucleotide ribosomal RNA is filed under the name uncultured bacterium. Its description in RNAcentral is "partial 16S ribosomal RNA". It matches the Rfam family "Bacterial small subunit ribosomal RNA", at positions 523 to 796 of the family's 1533-position model. The record is from RNAcentral.